ACCUCGGUAGUGUAGUGGUAGCACGCGUUCUCGAUAUGGAUGAGACACGGGUUCGACUCUCAUCUAAGGUC
Molecule: non-coding RNA, 71 nt
Organism: Parelaphostrongylus tenuis
Lineage: Eukaryota; Metazoa; Nematoda; Chromadorea; Rhabditida; Metastrongylidae
Source: the annotation of a GenBank genome assembly